GAUGAACGCUGGCGGCGUGCCUAAUACAUGCAAGUCGAGCGAACAGACGAGGGCUUGCUCCUCUGACGUUAGCGGCGGACGGGUGAGUAACACGUGGAUAACCUACCUAUAAGACUGGGAUAACUUCGGGAAACCGGAGCUAAUACCGGAUAAUAUAUUGAACCGCCUGGUUCAAUAGUGAAAGACGGUUUUGCUGUCACUUAUAGAUGGAUCCGCGCCGCAUUAGCUAGUUGGUAAGGUAACGGCUUACCAAGGCAACGAUGCGUAGCCGACCUGAGAGGGUGAUCGGCCACACUGGAACUGAGACACGGUCCAGACUCCUACGGGAGGCAGCAGUAGGGAAUCUUCCGCAAUGGGCGAAAGCCUGACGGAGCAACGCCGCGUGAGUGAUGAAGGUCUUCGGAUCGUAAAACUCUGUUAUUAGGGAAGAACAAAUGUGUAAGUAACUAUGCACGUCUUGACGGUACCUAAUCAGAAAGCCACGGCUAACUACGUG
This 496-nucleotide ribosomal RNA is filed under the name uncultured bacterium. Its description in RNAcentral is "partial 16S ribosomal RNA". It matches the Rfam family "Bacterial small subunit ribosomal RNA", at positions 28 to 507 of the family's 1533-position model. The record is from RNAcentral.